RNAcentral lists this ribosomal RNA (1361 nucleotides) under uncultured bacterium. RNAcentral's name for it is "bacterial SSU rRNA". It matches the Rfam family "Bacterial small subunit ribosomal RNA", at positions 28 to 1381 of the family's 1533-position model. The record is from RNAcentral.
AUUGAACGCUGGCGGCAGGCCUAACACAUGCAAGUCGAGCGGUAGCACAGAGAGCUUGCUCUCGGGUGACGAGCGGCGGACGGGUGAGUAAUGUCUGGGAAACUGCCUGAUGGAGGGGGAUAACUACUGGAAACGGUAGCUAAUACCGCAUAACGUCGCAAGACCAAAGUGGGGGACCUUCGGGCCUCAUGCCAUCAGAUGUGCCCAGAUGGGAUUAGCUAGUAGGUGGGGUAACGGCUCACCUAGGCGACGAUCCCUAGCUGGUCUGAGAGGAUGACCAGCCACACUGGAACUGAGACACGGUCCAGACUCCUACGGGAGGCAGCAGUGGGGAAUAUUGCACAAUGGGCGCAAGCCUGAUGCAGCCAUGCCGCGUGUGUGAAGAAGGCCUUCGGGUUGUAAAGCACUUUCAGCGGGGAGGAAGGCGUUAAGGUUAAUAACCUUGGCGAUUGACGUUACCCGCAGAAGAAGCACCGGCUAACUCCGUGCCAGCAGCCGCGGUAAUACGGAGGGUGCAAGCGUUAAUCGGAAUUACUGGGCGUAAAGCGCACGCAGGCGGUCUGUCAAGUCGGAUGUGAAAUCCCCGGGCUCAACCUGGGAACUGCAUUCGAAACUGGCAGGCUAGAGUCUUGUAGAGGGGGGUAGAAUUCCAGGUGUAGCGGUGAAAUGCGUAGAGAUCUGGAGGAAUACCGGUGGCGAAGGCGGCCCCCUGGACAAAGACUGACGCUCAGGUGCGAAAGCGUGGGGAGCAAACAGGAUUAGAUACCCUGGUAGUCCACGCCGUAAACGAUGUCGAUUUGGAGGUUGUGCCCUUGAGGCGUGGCUUCCGGAGCUAACGCGUUAAAUCGACCGCCUGGGGAGUACGGCCGCAAGGUUAAAACUCAAAUGAAUUGACGGGGGCCCGCACAAGCGGUGGAGCAUGUGGUUUAAUUCGAUGCAACGCGAAGAACCUUACCUGGUCUUGACAUCCACAGAACUUAGCAGAGAUGCUUUGGUGCCUUCGGGAACUGUGAGACAGGUGCUGCAUGGCUGUCGUCAGCUCGUGUUGUGAAAUGUUGGGUUAAGUCCCGCAACGAGCGCAACCCUUAUCCUUUGUUGCCAGCGGUCCGGCCGGGAACUCAAAGGAGACUGCCAGUGAUAAACUGGAGGGAGGUGGGGAUGACGUCAAGUCAUCAUGGCCCUUACGACCAGGGCUACACACGUGCUACAAUGGCAUAUACAAAGAGAAGCGACCUCGCGAGAGCAAGCGGACCUCAUAAAGUAUGUCGUAGUCCGGAUUGGAGUCUGCAACUCGACUCCAUGAAGUCGGAAUCGCUAGUAAUCGUAGAUCAGAAUGCUACGGUGAAUACGUUCCCGGGCCU